Schistocerca piceifrons (Central American locust) is the source of this 1667-nucleotide RNA transcript. RefSeq lists it as uncharacterized. The transcript is spliced from 5 exons. The record is from RefSeq and is a predicted model, not a curated record. Lineage: Eukaryota; Metazoa; Arthropoda; Insecta; Orthoptera; Acrididae.
GGGCUGUGGCUGUGGCGUGACUCACGCCCGCUGCAGUAAGGCGUUGGCGCGCACCAGUAGGCGAGUAGCAGCAGCAGAAACUCCUCAGUGGGCGCGUUCCUCCGUCACGUUGCAGACGCAGCCGCAGCCGCCGCCAUGUCGCACCAGGUGACCAUCACGAGGACCACGACCACGACGACCACGUCGGCCAUCCUCAUCAACACUGGGUACAUGCGCUCCUGGAGCGGCCUGCUCAAGCUGUGCCAGACGAUUCUGGGUGCUGUCUGCCUGGGGAUUGUUGCCUAUUAUGCAGACCAAGUUGGUGUUGUAUAUACAAGGAAUGCACAGUUCUUCUUCAUACUGAUGACGACAACUUUUCUAAUAGCAACAUUCUGUCUACUCCUAGCAUGCGUUCUCUCCCUAAGCGCAGGGACUGUUAUCUCCAAAACACUCUAUGAACUGAUUUAUCACUCAAUAGCUUUUAUAUUAUAUCUUGCUGCUUCUCUGAGACUCAUUAUUCAAAUAAGUGAUCACAAAAGAUCUUAUAGUUAUGAUGGACACAUGGCAGCAUCGGUGAUUGGCCUUGUAAAUACAGCACUAUAUUUGCUCAGUGCUGUGUUCUCCUACAGAUCUUACAGGCUGCCAUAAACAAGAAAGGAUUUAACUCGUCCAUGCCAUUAUCAACACAUCAUCAGCAGCAGCUUAAAAAUGAUUUAUAUAUAUGUUUAUGGGUAUAUUUUGUUUACUUUCAGAAAAUCCUGUCUUCUGAAAAUGUUUAUAUGAAAAUCUGAUAGACUCUUAUUUUAAAAAUAAAUGGACUAUUUUAGAAUAUUUAAUACUGAUCUGAACAUUACUUAAUAUCUCCAAUUUAAAUGUUACAUAUCAUAAUUAUUUUUUAUGCUGCUUUUUAACAUGAACUCUGAACACAAAUGUGAUUUUCGUUACUUUCUAAACAUUAUCUUUGAGAAAAAUUUCAGCUUCAUUCUGUAACUUCUUAAAAUAUAUCUCUUCUGACAUCUGUGCUAGUCAGAUUGGAUAACCAGUGUACAGACUAUAUUGCAAAGUGAACUUGAUGCCAUGAAGGUAUAAAGCUUUGCAGUUAAAAGAUCUAUGUGAAUUAAUUAAUUCACUGGGGUAAAAAGAGCAUGGGAACUUCCAUCAUGGCAAAAAAAUUGUGGAUUGUUAAUGUAGUGAUGGUUUCAAUUUUCAGAUGUAUCUUUGACUUACAGUGGAAAUAUUAUUAGUAAAGUACAAUAUUAUCAUGCUUGUAAUAUUUUUAAAGACUCAGAUACCACCUACUACUUGUGUUGAUUAAAUUUCUGUGUUGAGAUAGACAUUUUAUUAAGUUAUUCAUAGUGUGUAGUUAAAUAACAAAUGUUAGUAAAUGUGUGUGUGUGUGUGUGUGUGUGUGUGUGUGUGUGAGAGAGAGAGAGAGAGAGAGAGAGAGAGAGAGAGAGAGAGAAAAUUAAUAGUAGACUGGUAUGAUUCAUGCAUUUACUGUUGUGACUGUAUUGUGAAUUGAGACUCCUAAUGACAUCAGUGAAAGAAGGCUAGUUAUAUCAUUGUGUAAGGUAUCUUUCAUCUCAUUUUGCACAACUAUUUUGUCAUAAACUUAUAGGGCUUAUUAUGUCUAAUAACUUAUUCAUUAACUAUGUAUAUUUAUUGGAAUAAACGUUUGUAGAAAAAUU